Molecule: ribosomal RNA, 496 nt
Filed under: Botrytis cinerea
Lineage: Eukaryota; Fungi; Ascomycota; Leotiomycetes; Helotiales; Sclerotiniaceae
Description: eukaryotic LSU rRNA
Rfam family: 5.8S ribosomal RNA (bases 150-303)
Source: RNAcentral
UACAGAGUUCAUGCCCGAAAGGGUAGACCUCCCACCCUUGUGUAUUAUUACUUUGUUGCUUUGGCGAGCUGCCUUCGGGCCUUGUAUGCUCGCCAGAGAAUACCAAAACUCUUUUUAUUAAUGUCGUCUGAGUACUAUAUAAUAGUUAAAACUUUCAACAACGGAUCUCUUGGUUCUGGCAUCGAUGAAGAACGCAGCGAAAUGCGAUAAGUAAUGUGAAUUGCAGAAUUCAGUGAAUCAUCGAAUCUUUGAACGCACAUUGCGCCCCUUGGUAUUCCGGGGGGCAUGCCUGUUCGAGCGUCAUUUCAACCCUCAAGCUUAGCUUGGUAUUGAGUCUAUGUCAGUAAUGGCAGGCUCUAAAAUCAGUGGCGGCGCCGCUGGGUCCUGAACGUAGUAAUAUCUCUCGUUACAGGUUCUCGGUGUGCUUCUGCCAAAACCCAAAUUUUUCUAUGGUUGACCUCGGAUCAGGUAGGGAUACCCGCUGAACUUAAGCAUA